RNAcentral lists this ribosomal RNA (468 nucleotides) under uncultured bacterium. RNAcentral's name for it is "partial 16S ribosomal RNA". It matches the Rfam family "Bacterial small subunit ribosomal RNA", at positions 28 to 507 of the family's 1533-position model. The record is from RNAcentral.
GAUGAACGCUGGCGGCGUGCUUAACACAUGCAAGUCGAACGGAAAGGCCCAAGCUUGCUUGGGUACUCGAGUGGCGAACGGGUGAGUAACACGUGGGUGAUCUGCCCUGCACUUCGGGAUAAGCCUGGGAAACUGGGUCUAAUACCGGAUAGGACGAUGGUUUGGGUGCCAUUGUGGAAAGUUUUUUCGGUGUGGGAUGAGCUCGCGGCCUAUCAGCUUGUUGGUGGGGUAAUGGCCUACCAAGGCGUCGACGGGUCGCCGGCCUGAGAGGGUGUACGGCCACAUUGAGACUGAGACACGACCCAGACUCCUACGGGUGGGAGCAGUGGGGAAUAUUGCACAAUAGGCGCGAGCCUGAUGCAGCGACGCCGCGUGGGGGAUGACGGCCUUCGGGUUGGAAACACCUUGCGCUAGGGACGAAGCGUUUCUGUGACGGUACCUGGAGAAGAAGCACCGGCUAACUACGUG